RNAcentral lists this ribosomal RNA (466 nucleotides) under Vreelandella stevensii. RNAcentral describes it as "partial 16S ribosomal RNA". It matches the Rfam family "Bacterial small subunit ribosomal RNA", at positions 338 to 795 of the family's 1533-position model. Lineage: Bacteria; Pseudomonadati; Pseudomonadota; Gammaproteobacteria; Oceanospirillales; Halomonadaceae. The record is from RNAcentral.
CCUACGGGGAGGCAGCAGUGGGGAAUAUUGGACAAUGGGCGAAAGCCUGAUCCAGCCAUGCCGCGUGUGUGAAGAAGGCCUUCGGGUUGUAAAGCACUUUCAGUGGGGAAGAAAGCCUUGGGGCUAAUACCCUCGAGGAAGGACAUCACCCACAGAAGAAGCACCGGCUAACUCCGUGCCAGCAGCCGCGGUAAUACGGAGGGUGCGAGCGUUAACCGGAAUUACUGGGCGUAAAGCGCGCGUAGGCGGUCUGAUAAGCCGGUUGUGAAAGCCCCGGGCUCAACCUGGGAACGGCAUCCGGAACUGUCAGGCUAGAGUGCAGGAGAGGAAGGUAGAAUUCCCGGUGUAGCGGUGAAAUGCGUAGAGAUCGGGAGGAAUACCAGUGGCGAAGGCGGCCUUCUGGACUGACACUGACGCUGAGGUGCGAAAGCGUGGGUAGCAAACAGGAUUAGAUACCCGUGUAGUC